Molecule: microRNA precursor, 91 nt
Filed under: Mustela putorius furo (domestic ferret)
Lineage: Eukaryota; Metazoa; Chordata; Mammalia; Carnivora; Mustelidae
Description: miRNA (ENSMPUG00000022756.1)
Source: RNAcentral
AUAUAUGUGUGUGUGUGUGUGUGUGUGUGUGUGUGUAUGAGGACAGAGGCCAUACACACACACACACACACACACACACACACACACACAC